RNAcentral lists this ribosomal RNA (479 nucleotides) under Streptococcus sp. oral taxon 070. RNAcentral describes it as "bacterial SSU rRNA". It matches the Rfam family "Bacterial small subunit ribosomal RNA", at positions 28 to 489 of the family's 1533-position model. The record is from RNAcentral. Lineage: Bacteria; Bacillati; Bacillota; Bacilli; Lactobacillales; Streptococcaceae.
GACGAACGCUGGCGGCGUGCCUAAUACAUGCAAGUAGAACGCUGAAGCUUGGUGCUUGCACCGAGCGGAUGAGUUGCGAACGGGUGAGUAACGCGUAGGUAACCUGCCUGGUAGCGGGGGAUAACUAUUGGAAACGAUAGCUAAUACCGCAUAACAUUGACUAUUGCAUGAUAGUCAAUUAAAAGGUGCAAUUGCACCACUACCAGAUGGACCUGCGUUGUAUUAGCUAGUUGGUGGGGUAACGGCUCACCAAGGCGACGAUACAUAGCCGACCUGAGAGGGUGAUCGGCCACACUGGGACUGAGACACGGCCCAGACUCCUACGGGAGGCAGCAGUAGGGAAUCUUCGGCAAUGGACGGAAGUCUGACCGAGCAACGCCGCGUGAGUGAAGAAGGUUUUCGGAUCGUAAAGCUCUGUUGUAAGAGAAGAACGAGUGUGAGAGUGGAAAGUUCACACCUGUGACGGUAUCUACCAGAAA